RNAcentral lists this ribosomal RNA (1374 nucleotides) under Triticum aestivum (bread wheat). Its description in RNAcentral is "partial small subunit ribosomal RNA". The record is from RNAcentral. Lineage: Eukaryota; Viridiplantae; Streptophyta; Magnoliopsida; Poales; Poaceae.
AUGUCCGGGAUCUCGGCGGGGAAGCGGCUGUGGGACGCCGGGUUGAGGGACCUGCUGAUCCUGGAGGCGACGGAGCGCGUGGGCGGGCGGAUGCACAAGCACAACUUCGGCGGCCUCAACGUGGAGAUCGGGGCCAACUGGGUGGAGGGCCUCAACGGGGACAAGGUCAACCCCAUCUGGCCCAUGGUCAACGCCAGCCUCCAGCUCCGCAACUUCUACUCCGACUUCGACGGCGUCGUCGGCAACGUCUACAAGGAGAGCGGUGGCCUUUACGACGAGGAGUUCGUGCAGAAGAGAAUGGACCGCGGCGACGAGGUGGAGGAGCUGGGCGGCAAGCUCGCCGCCAAGAUGGAUCCCAGCGGCCGCGACGACAUGUCCAUCUUGGCCAUGCAGCGCCUCUUCAACCACCAGCCGAACGGGCCGGCGACGCCGGUGGACAUGGUGCUCGACUACUUCAGGUACGACUACGAGUUCGCCGAGCCGCCGCGCGUCACCAGCCUGCAGGGCACCGAGCCGACGGCCACCUUCGCCGACUUCGGGGACGACGCGCACUUCGUCGCCGAUCAGCGGGGAUUCGAGACCCUCAUAUAUCACAUCGCCGGCCAGUACCUGCGUUCCGACAAGUCCGGGAACAUCAUAGAUCCUAGGGUCAAGCUCAACAAGGUGGUGCGUGAGAUCUCCUACAAGCAGAGAGGCGUGGUGGUGACUACGGAGGACAACUCAGCGUACAGCGCAGACUACGUGAUCGUGUCCGCGAGCAUAGGGGUCCUGCAAAGCGAUCUCAUACAGUUCAAGCCUCAGCUUCCAGCAUGGAAGAUCCUUGCCAUCUACCGAUUUGACAUGGGCGUGUACACCAAGAUCUUCCUCGAGUUCCCCAGGAAGUUCUGGCCAACGGGCCCCGGGAAGCAGUUCUUCGUCUACGCCAGCUCCAGGAGAGGCUACUACGGGAUGUGGCAGUCGUUCGAGCAGGAGUACCCGGGUGCCAACGUGCUGAUGGUGACGGUGACGGACGUGGAGUCGCGGCGGAUCGAGCAGCAGCCCGACAAUGUCACGAUGGCGGAGGCCGUGGGCGUGCUGCGGAACAUGUUCCCCGACCGGGACGUCCCCGACGCCACCGAUAUCUACGUGCCGCGCUGGUGGUCCAACCGCUUCUUCAAGGGCUCCUACUCCAACUGGCCCGUCGGCGUCAACCGCUACGAGUACGACCAGCUCCGGGCGCCGGUUGGCGGGCGGGUCUACUUCACCGGGGAGCACACCAGCGAGCGCUACAACGGCUACGUCCACGGAGCUUAUCUUGCAGGUCUCUUAUCCUCUUCCGGCCCCUCACGCGAGGUGGUCUGUGAUCUGAGAUGUAUGCGGUUUUUCCUUUGCUAA